AUACGGAGGGUCCGAGCGUUAAUCGGAAUUACUGGGCGUAAAGCGCGCGUAGGCGGCUAUAUAAGUCAGAUGUGAAAUCCCUGGGCUCAACCUAGGAACUGCAUUUGAAACUGUAUGGCUAGAGUAUGGUAGAGGUGAGUGGAAUUUCAGGUGUAGCGGUGAAAUGCGUAGAGAUCUGAAGGAACAUCAGUGGCGAAGGCGACUCACUGGGCCAUUACUGACGCUGAGGUGCGAAAGCGUGGGUAGCAAACAGGAUUAGAAACCCCUGUAGUCC
RNAcentral lists this ribosomal RNA (274 nucleotides) under uncultured bacterium. RNAcentral's name for it is "partial 16S ribosomal RNA". It matches the Rfam family "Bacterial small subunit ribosomal RNA", at positions 523 to 796 of the family's 1533-position model. The record is from RNAcentral.